UACGUAGGGGGCAAGCGUUGUCCGGAAUCAUUGGGCGUAAAGAGCGUGUAGGCGGCCCGAUAAGUCCGCUGUGAAAGUCCAGGGCUCAACCCUGGAAUGCCGGUGGAUACUGUCGGGCUCGAAUCCGGAAGAGGUGAGUGGAAUUCCUGGUGUAGCGGUGAAAUGCGCAGAUAUCAGGAGGAACACCAAUGGCGAAGGCAGCUCACUGGGACGGGAUUGACGCUGAGACGCGAAAGCGUGGGGAGCGAACAGG
This 253-nucleotide ribosomal RNA is filed under the name uncultured bacterium. RNAcentral's name for it is "partial 16S ribosomal RNA". It matches the Rfam family "Bacterial small subunit ribosomal RNA", at positions 524 to 776 of the family's 1533-position model. The record is from RNAcentral.